AUUAAAACUCUACAAUAUUACAUAGUAUGUAAAUUAUUUUUCUCCAUUUAGUAAUUCAUAACAGACAUACAUAUUGCGAUCUAUUCUAUUUUGAAGCAGAUGAAAAGUGGAAAAAGUUUCUUAUAAAUUUAAUUAUAUUAUAGAUUCAUAACAAAUGGGAAAUUGGCAAAUGGAGGUUGGAAGAAUGAUGUCAUAUAUAUUAUUUCCUAUUGGAGUUUACUAUUAUUUUAAUCAAACAGAAAAUAUUGAAGAAUGGAUAAA
Long non-coding RNA from Apis florea (little honeybee), 261 nucleotides. RefSeq lists it as uncharacterized. The record is from RefSeq and is a predicted model, not a curated record. Lineage: Eukaryota; Metazoa; Arthropoda; Insecta; Hymenoptera; Apidae.